Molecule: long non-coding RNA, 792 nt
Filed under: Malus domestica (apple)
Lineage: Eukaryota; Viridiplantae; Streptophyta; Magnoliopsida; Rosales; Rosaceae
Description: long non-coding RNA (MDOM_LNC013418)
Source: RNAcentral
UCCACUUCAUUCAUCCAGCUUAUAUUCUAUGGUUAAGAUCUCCAUCUAAUUCUCCGUUCUUUUACAAGAUAGAUCCUAGGUAGCAAAAACGGUCGCUCUUUGGUAUUUCCUGAUCUCCAAUCCUCACCCCUAACUCAUUUUGGCCUCCAUUUGCUCUGAACUUGCACUCCAUAUAUUCUGUCUUUGAUCGGCUUAGGCGAAGACCUUUAGAUUCCAACACUUCUCUCCAGAGGUUAAGCUUCGCAUUUACCCCUUCCUGAGUUUCAUCUAUUAACACUAUAUCAUUUGUGAAAAGCAUACACCAAGGAAUAUCAUCUUGAAUAUGUCCUGUUAACUCAUCCAUUACCAACACAAAAAGGUAAGGACUUAAGGAUUGUUGAUGCACAAAAUCAGUGAGGACUUUGGUACAACAGAAAAAAUUAAGUUUGUGAUCUUUGCUAGAUUGCUCCGGUCAUUAGUGUGGAUAAGUAUGUAAAUGGAUAGAGACAGGAAAGCAAACACAAGAUGUACAUGGUUCACCCAGAUUGGCUACGUCCACGUAGUAGAGGAGUUCUCAUUAAAUGUGAAGGGUUUACACAAGUACAUAGGUUCAAGCUCUCCUUUAGUGAGUACAAGUGAAUGAUUUACUACAAAUGACAUUAGGAAAUAUUGUGGGAGAAUGAUCUCGUAAUCAAGAAACUUCUAAGUACCGAAGUGUGGUAUCGUCUUCACUUGCCUUAUCUGUCUCAUAGGUAGAUGUGGCAUCUUCUCUAGAAGUACUUUUCCUCCAUCCAGGGGUGGUAUCUUUAACUG